Molecule: transfer RNA, 71 nt
Filed under: Bos taurus (domestic cattle)
Lineage: Eukaryota; Metazoa; Chordata; Mammalia; Artiodactyla; Bovidae
Also listed under: 4 other names
Rfam family: tRNA
About the family: Transfer RNA (tRNA) molecules are approximately 80 nucleotides in length. Their secondary structure includes four short double-helical elements and three loops (D, anti-codon, and T loops). Further hydrogen bonds mediate the characteristic L-shaped molecular structure. tRNAs have two regions of fundamental functional importance: the anti-codon, which is responsible for specific mRNA codon recognition, and the 3' end, to which the tRNAs corresponding amino acid is attached (by aminoacyl-tRNA synthetases). tRNAs cope with the degeneracy of the genetic code in two manners: having more than one tRNA (with a specific anti-codon) for a particular amino acid; and 'wobble' base-pairing, i.e. permitting non-standard base-pairing at the 3rd anti-codon position.
Source: Rfam by way of RNAcentral
UCCCUGGUGGCUCAGCUGGUAGAGAAUCUGCCUGCAAUGCAGGAGACUCAGGUUCAAUCCUAGGUUGGGAA